This is a small nucleolar RNA of Mastomys coucha (southern multimammate mouse), 114 nucleotides long. RefSeq annotates it as small nucleolar RNA SNORA20. NCBI's taxonomy places the organism in Eukaryota, Metazoa, Chordata, Mammalia, Rodentia, Muridae. The transcript has a single exon. The record is from RefSeq and is a predicted model, not a curated record.
UUUCCUAUUAGUUUGCUGCUCUAGUGUAUCAGUGAUAGGAGCAGUUAUACACAUGAUAAAACAAUGUUGGGCCAUUGUACAUGGAGAUGAAAUGUGUACAUGGUCUAAACAUUG